GACGAUUAGAGUUUGAUCCUGGCUCAGGAUGAACGCUGGCGGCGUGCUUAACACAUGCAAGUCGAACGAACCUUCGGGUUAGUGGCGGACGGGUGAGUAACGCGUGAGAAUCUGCCCUCAGGAGGGGGAUAACGGCUGGAAACGGCCGCUAAUACCCCAUAUGCCGAGAGGUGAAAUGAAUUUCGCCUGAGGAUGAGCUCGCGUCUGAUUAGCUAGUUGGUGGGGUAAGAGCCUACCAAGGCUUCGAUCAGUAGCUGGUCUGAGAGGAUGAUCAGCCACACUGGGACUGAGACACGGCCCAGACUCCUACGGGAGGCAGCAGUGGGGAAUUUUCCGCAAUGGGCGAAAGCCUGACGGAGCAACGCCGCGUGAGGGAUGAAGGCCUCUGGGCUGUAAACCUCUUUUAUCAAGGAAGAAGAUCUGACGGUACUUGAUGAAUAAGCCACGGCUAAUUCCGUGCCAGCAGCCGCGGUAAUACGGGAGUGGCAAGCGUUAUCCGGAAUUAUUGGGCGUAAAGCGUCCGCAGGCGGCCUUUUAAGUCUGUUGUUAAAGCGUGGAGCUUAACUCCAUUUCAGCAAUGGAAACUGGAAGGCUUGAGUGUGGUAGGGGCAGAGGGAAUUCCCGGUGUAGCGGUGAAAUGCGUAGAUAUCGGGAAGAACACCAGUGGCGAAGGCGCUCUGCUGGGCCAUAACUGACGCUCAUGGACGAAAGCCAGGGGAGCGAAAGGGAUUAGAUACCCCUGUAGUCCUGGCCGUAAACGAUGAACACUAGGUGUCGGGGGAAUCGACCCCCUCGGUGUCGUAGCCAACGCGUUAAGUGUUCCGCCUGGGGAGUACGCACGCAAGUGUGAAACUCAAAGGAAUUGACGGGGGCCCGCACAAGCGGUGGAGUAUGUGGUUUAAUUCGAUGCAACGCGAAGAACCUUACCAGGGUUUGACAUCCUGCGAAUCCCUUGGAAACGAGGGAGUGCCUUCGGGAGCGCAGUGACAGGUGGUGCAUGGCUGUCGUCAGCUCGUGUCGUGAGAUGUUGGGUUAAGUCCCGCAACGAGCGCAACCCACGUCGUUAGUUGCCAGCAUUCAGUUGGGCACUCUAGCGAGACCGCCGGUGAUAAACCGGAGGAAGGUGUGGAUGACGUCAAGUCAUCAUGCCCCUUACAUCCUGGGCUACACACGUACUACAAUGCUACGGACAAAGGGCAGCAAACUCGCGAGAGCUAGCAAAUCCCAUAAACCGUGGCUCAGUUCAGAUCGUAGGCUGCAACUCGCCUACGUGAAGGAGGAAUCGCUAGUAAUCGCAGGUCAGCAUACUGCGGUGAAUACGUUCCCGGGCCUUGUACACACCGCCCGUCACACCAUGGAAGUUGGCCACGCCCGAAGCCGUUACUCCAACCCUUGUGGAGGAGGAUGUCGAAGGUGGGGCUGAUGACUGGGGUGAAGCGUAACAAGGCCGUAAAUCUCUAGAGUCC
RNAcentral lists this ribosomal RNA (1466 nucleotides) under uncultured prokaryote. RNAcentral's name for it is "partial 16S ribosomal RNA". It matches the Rfam family "Bacterial small subunit ribosomal RNA". The record is from RNAcentral.